Molecule: long non-coding RNA, 346 nt
Organism: Tarenaya hassleriana
Lineage: Eukaryota; Viridiplantae; Streptophyta; Magnoliopsida; Brassicales; Cleomaceae
Exons: 2
Source: RefSeq, a predicted model, not a curated record
UUCUCUCUCAUAUUGUUCUUCUUCUUCCCAUGUAUCAUCGUCGGUAUUUCUCAGCGGAGGCAAUCUUCCCGAUUGGUUUCUCCGCCAUUGUUCCCGACGAGAGGUGCGAUCGACAGCUCCGGCAUUCUUCCCGACAGCUCCGCCAUUAUUGAGGAAAAUGGAUGGUCUUGAAGAUUGUUAUACAUGUGUAUGUAUUCGUUAUGGUGGUAUUUGGGAAAGAAAGGAAGAUGAGUUAUUUGAAUGGAAAGGAGAUGAUGAAAAUGGUAAGACCAUUUCCCAUUGGACUAUUCCUGAUCAUGUAGCGGAGAUGAAAGUGAACCCUCCUAUUGUAAGAGAACGAGGUGUU